GUGACAUCCAUGUGGCAUGAUAAAACUAAUAACUAUAUCUAUUGGGGAUUAAUGGGUGGAUUGGAUGGUAUACAACGAGAGUUUGAAUAUCAGACAUUUAUAAAUUAUAACACGGGAAUAAACGCGGCAAUGAGCGCGUGGGGAGUAAUUGUUGGUGGUCAGUAUUAUAAUAACACAAAGAGUUUUAGCACCGCCGAUAAAGAUAUUACAACACAAUAUCUUGGUUAUUGGACAGGUGACGGUUCAUAUUAUGCAAAUGGUCCAGAACAAGGUAAAACGUAUGCCGACACAAUAGUUGAAGUGCAACAACAAGCUCAGAC
Molecule: long non-coding RNA, 320 nt
Organism: Patella vulgata (common limpet)
Lineage: Eukaryota; Metazoa; Mollusca; Gastropoda; Patellidae
Exons: 3
Source: RefSeq, a predicted model, not a curated record